Balaenoptera ricei (Rice's whale) is the source of this 5503-nucleotide long non-coding RNA. RefSeq lists it as uncharacterized. The record is from RefSeq and is a predicted model, not a curated record. Lineage: Eukaryota; Metazoa; Chordata; Mammalia; Artiodactyla; Balaenopteridae. The transcript has 4 exons.
GACUUACAAUGCAAAUAAAUUCUCUGAGCUAAACUAACAGGCGCCGCCGGGACAGCCUAGGCGGGAGGCCUCCGUGGCACUAGAAGCCUCGGAGAGCCCCCUACAGGCGGGAGGACCCGAAAGGAAAGUACUUCUGCUCAGAUGGGCGGAGCUAGGGAGGCGGGGGCGGAAGUGACGGUGAUACGCUGGCAAAGGCGGGUUCUUCGGCUUGCGCUAAGAGGGUGAGGUGUAGUGGGCUCUUCGUGUUUCUGGAGAAGUUAUUUUACUAAAGGCUCGAGAACUCUGUUCUGUCACCAUGGACACGGGAUGUCGUUUAGACACUUAUUGUUUUGGGGGUCUCCUUUUCCUGCUCGAAAUAUGAGGUUUCUCUUGGAGUUUUAGCUUUGUGCCAUAGCUACAGCCUCUGACUAGGGCCCACACUGGAGCAAAGAGGUACAUGGAGAGUUUCUUGCCUUUUGGGAAGUCUGAGGUCUUCUGCCAGCGUUCUGUAGGAGCUGUUCCACACAUCCAUGUAUUUUUGAUGUAUUUGUGGGGAGGAAGGUGAUCUCCACGUCUUACUCCUCUGCCAUCUUGAAGGUCCCCUCCUAUUGUUAUUGAAAGGAAAAAAAACUCUACCAAUCGGUACAGCAGUUCACGGCAGAGCUAUUCAGAAUAAAGGAAUGGAUGCUGUUAACGUUGAUGUCAAUAUGAUACUUGGAUGGCAUUUGGCAAAAGGACUCAGGAGUAUCCAAAUCCUUCCCUGUCUUGGUCAUUCUUCCUUGAGAAUGCCUCAAAGAAAGCGUGUGUGCAGGAUACAUUGACCAGCAGAGCAUAGUGACAUCACAUUGGAAUGACUUCUGGGACUUCUUUCCCAAACUCAAAGCAGAGCCAGUGGGAGUCAACCAGAGUUCCACAAAAGUUCCCUCAUUUGUAUCUACUGGAAUGGCUUCAGUGGUGUGGAAACAAAGAAGGCCGAAAGUCUUGUUCUGACCAUUUCUACCACAAUAUCCAUUUCACAUUUGGAUCUUACUAUCUCAUGUGGUGAAAAUUCACUCACCAGUGCCAAGGUGUGAAACAUAAGGACAGCUGAAGACAGAGAGUCUGUCCCAAUGUCUUAAUGUGCCCUGCCUGGGCCCUCUUGAUUUAGCUGCCUUGUGGAAGAGAAAGAGCAGAUGAAGAGAAAAAGAAAGAGAAAGGAGAGAAGAGAGAGAGAGGACCAAGCUUUCCCUUGGGGAGAAUAGGCCCUAAGCUUAGCCUUACUUCAUCAGGUCAGAGAGUCCAGACAGACAAAAAUGGAGGGAAGAGUUAGCCAUCAUUUUUCUUCCCUUAUUACCAUCGUAACAUCUUAGGAGGAAGAGAACUGGAAGGGUAAGACUUCACACAGUGUGUGACCUUGACCUCUAUAAACAGUACAGUGAUCUAAUUCAGAGACCAGAGUCUGAUCAUCCAGAUCAACAAUGGGUUGAGUUGGGCUUUGGGGGACAGCAGGGUUGAAUAAAACCGAGAAUUCCUCAGAGAGGCCAGCAGGACCAUUAUUUUGAUGUCAGCCUUUGAAGUGGUCACUGUGCCUAAUUCAAAAUUUCGAGGUCUCAGUUCCUCAUGUUUUAGUGAAGAGCAAGUCUAAAUUUUAUACUUGCUGUGUAAAAAUUUUACUGAUGGCCCUGGUAUUGCCUUAUCGUCUCAUCUGCUGAGGCACUUUUUGUCUGCCUUGUUGAUUUUUUCUUGUUGAAAGUAUAAAGUACGUUCUAGACUUUAUAGUGUAUCUUUUCAAGGUUUGGCCCUGUGUCCUCAACUGGGGCAGGUGCUGCUUUGGGGCAGGUGCCUUGUAAUUUACCUCAUUGUAUUUCCAGGAUCCAACACAGUGUUUGGAAUUGAGUAGGCACUCAAUAAAUGUUUGAUGAUGAUGAAGUUGCCUGGUGUUUGGAGGACAUUAUUCAGGUUCAUUAAGGCUUUACCAGCACUUUUUAAAAAAUGAAAACUAUUUUCAAAUCUCUAUUUUGGAAGUUUUUCUCAGUAUUUUCCUUUCCUAAAAAUUGAUUUAGCAUUUUCAAUACAGCUUGACAGACUAAAUUUAUUUUUUGCCUUUGUACUUAUUCUUUUAGAAGAACAUAUAUAUAAAGAAAAUAUAUUUGGCAGAAGAUAUAUGUGAUGAACUGCAGAGACAGAAGCCACGUCUUUAGAACUAAAGUGGUACCCAAGGGAAGAGCAAUAGAAAACUUGCCUUGGAGUGACUCAGUGCAGGUGGUUGAAAUAGGAAGCUGGGAUCAAUCCUAGAAGGGCAGGUUGAAUUAUUUUUCCAUUUUCACUGUUCCCUUUUCCAGUGCUCUUUCUCAGAUCAAAAUGAUGAUUAUAAUGAGAAAAUAUAAAUGGGAAAUAUAAUGAGAAGUGAUUAUUCUUUCUUGCGAGUCAACAUGCUAAGUUAUGUAUUAUGCCAGCUCAUUUAAUCCACACAACUACUCUAUAAAGAACAUAGUGUUAUUAUCUGUAAUUAAUAAACUAGAAAACUGAGGCUCAGAGGAUUUGAGCAACUUGCCUAAAUCCCACCACCUGUAAUGGCAGAGCUUUGAGGCAAACGCACCCUAGUCUGGCCCAUGACCUUGACCACCAUGCUCCGCUGUCUCCUGAAGGCCAAGAAGUGUUCUUGGGAACAGAAACAAAGGAAACUUUGGAGAACAGGGAUGGCCUACUCCUCAGACAACUUUUGGGAAGUUACCCAAACCAUCAGAAAUUUGAGCUGCAUAUUUUAUGAAGGUGGCAAUCAAGCCAGUUGAAGGUUUACUUAGAGUUUUGGACUGACACUUUCGCAGAGAUUUAAAAGUAACUCAGAGACAGUUUAGUUUGAACUUUGAGAUUGACAUGUUUUGCUGACUGUUCUGCACGCUAGUCAUUUUCUGCUGAAAAGAAUGAUUUACUUGUAUAAAAGAAUGAUCUGUGAUUGGCUUAUUGUCAGAAACAAAUAAAAAAAGUUAUAAUAAACAAGACAGGUUAUUUUGAAGGUGGUGAAAACCUGGAAUCAGGUGCAGUAUUAGCUUUUUGGUAUGUGUAUAUAAUUUCAUUUACCUUGUCUAGAGCAUCCAUUUUUGUGUGUUUUUUGAAAUAAUGAAUGGAGUUAUUUUAACCGAGUGCUAAUGUGGUGAAUGCCAGGUGAGAAAUUCAAUUGAAAUGCUGUCACAAGAUCCUUUUGUUUUACUGACAAGAGGUGUCAUGUUCUCGUGAAUCCCGAUACAUGGAGUGUGAACUGAUAAAUAGUUUGGAGAUGAAAUUGUCAGUCACCAUUAUCACACUCAAGCCAUUAUUUUUUCUGGUAGCUUACACUGCCAUGAAAUUUAAGUUCUGGAGUGUGAGGCAAGUAGAAGGUAAAAACAGUAUGGAUGUGACCAUAAAUUGGAAAAGUGCUUAGGUUAGAAAAGUAAUAUUCCAAAGGGGCUUAAAUAUAGGGAGAAAGAUUUGCUGCUACUUCUGAGACUGAGAGGAGGAGGAAGCCAGGAAGAGGGGGAAGAUCAGAGGUGGAUCUACCUUGAAGCUAAGGAAACUUAAUCUUUAGGGUCCCUUCCAUGAUGAAGAUCAUUCCAGUGAAUGCAGUCUGUUCACAUGCCAUAUACUUCUGUAAAAUUUGUGCAAGAUAUAUAACAGCAAUCAGUUAAGUUUGCUGUCUUUUUCCACUCUUACGUCUCUUCCAUUACACUUCUCCUACUUUUGGAUGGUUUUAGAAUGACCCCAGAUGUUGUUUGAAGGAAACUUGAGUGGAGAAUAUGUUUUGUUUUAGUGUAAUGGAAUAUAUUUAUGUGAUCCACACCAUUACUUCCCAUAUAUUUAAGUUACUAUUUCCUCAUUCUGGCAUAAGAAUAGCUUCCAGAAAUACACCUCUUGCCCACUCUGCCAACUUGAUUGAUGCUAUGAUUCACAGGUAUGUGGCCAAACUGAUAUGAAUAUGCUUAAGGUACCCAGUAUCUAAAGUAUGUGUGCAGUGGAACAAAACAAGAUUUAAAAUAUAUGGAGCCAGAAACCAGUCUGUAGAAAAUUUUUCUAAUCAUCAGAUGUGUAAAACUGUAAUUGGAGGAUUUGGUUCCUAUCAAUAUUCUCACCUGUCAGGAAUACAGUUAACAAUACAGUGCGUAAAUUCAUCAGAUGUAUUUUGCAUUUUUCUGGUGGAAAUUGUGUGAAAGAGAAUUUGUCAGAACUUCUGUAGGGCAAAUCUGUAGUGGUUCUACAAGUAUUGAUUAUAUCUGUAAUAACCAUAGACAAAAGAAACUUUAGAAGAGAAGGUAUCAUUUAUUUAAUACCGCAUAACAAACCUCCCAAAACUUACUGCCUUAAAACAAAAAAUCAUUGUUCUGUGGUUGGCAACUUAGCCUGGGCCUUUGUGAGAUGGCUCAUCUUGCUCUCUGUGGUGUAGACCAUAAGUCUAAGAUCUCAGUUGAGGUGGCCAAUGCUUUUUCUUCUCCCUAUAAGGUAUUGCAUCCUCUAUAAAGCACCAAGGUUUGUUCACAUUCACAGAGUGAGCAUAAGCAAGGAUUCUUGAGGCCUGGGAUAAUAACUCAGUGUUACUGCUGCUAUAUUCUAUUAAUCAAAGAAAAUCACAAGUCCAGCCCAGGUUCAAGGAGUGUGAAAAUAGACACCACUCGUUGUGGGUGUUGCUGAAAAGAAUUUAUGGUCACUUUUUGUACUCUACCAUAUAGGAUUUCCCAAUUUGACAAAAAUCUUCAACAUUUACGUAACAACACUAAGUUGUGAAUCUGAAAGAAAUUACUAAGCUAUCAGUAAUUUUAAAAUGAAGUCAACUGUGCUGAAUUACCAUUCUGUUCUCCCUCUUUAAAAUGAUAUUGGAGAAUUAUUGUCACAUGAAGAGGCAAUCAGAGAGUCUGGAGCCAAGGUGGGCAUGGAGAGAAGGAUCAAUGAAAUGUGUCUUUGAGAUCCAGUUGAAUUUACAUUUGGUUUAUAUGACCCAGAUGUCACAGUACUAUGCUUGGGAGCUUAUAAGGCCUUGGUUUGAAUAAGUUAACAUCACUUAACAGUUGAGAAAUUUGGGGAAAGUUACCUAUUCUUUCUUUGAUAAUCAGUUUUUCAUCUGAUUGAAAUGAUAAUAGUCAUUUUCUGCUGAAGAGAAUGAUUUACUUGUAUAAAAGAGUGACCUGUGAUUGGCUUAUUGUCAGAAACCAAUUUUAAAAAAAUAAACCAAGACAUCAUUUUGAAGGUGGUGAACACCUGGAAUCAAGUGUAGUAUUAGCAUCUUUGUAUAUGUAUAUAAUUUCGUUUACCUUGUCUAGAGCUUUUUUCAUAUUUUUAUGGAUAUUAAUGUAUUAAAUAAUGUAUUAAAGUAUUUAAUAAUCUUCUGGUACGUGCUAGGCAGACAGAGAUACAUUUUUAUUGAACCUGCCUGUGUCCCAGGUUCUGUUCUAGGAACUGGGGUUAUAGUGGUGAAUAACAAAAUUCCUACCUUCAAGAAGGUUCCAUUUUAGUUAUACAGCAGAAAUUAACACAACAUUGUAAAUCAACUUAUACUUCAAUAAAAUUUUAAAAAGUU